This 612-nucleotide ribosomal RNA is filed under the name Pseudozyma hubeiensis. RNAcentral's name for it is "eukaryotic LSU rRNA". It matches the Rfam family "Eukaryotic large subunit ribosomal RNA", at positions 62 to 655 of the family's 3401-position model. The record is from RNAcentral. Lineage: Eukaryota; Fungi; Basidiomycota; Ustilaginomycetes; Ustilaginales; Ustilaginaceae.
AAACUAACAAGGAUUCCCCUAGUAACGGCGAGUGAAGAGGGAAGAGCCCAAGAUUGAAAGCUGGCGCCUUCGGCGUCCGCAUUGUAAUCUCAAGAAGCGUUUUCCGCUUCGGACCAUGCCUAAGUCCCUUGGAAAAGGGCAUCAUAGAGGGUGAUAAUCCCGUACAUGGCAUGGAGCGCCCGAAGCUUUGUGAUACGCUUUCUAAGAGUCGAGUUGUUUGGGAAUGCAGCUCAAAAUGGGUGGUAAAUGCCAUCUAAGGCUAAAUAUUGGGGAGAGACCGAUAGCGAACAAGUACAGUGAUGGAAAGAUGAAAAGAACUUUGAAAAGAGAGUUAAACAGUACGUGAAAUUGCCAAAAGGGAAGGGUAGGAGGUCAGAGAUGCGUCGCAGGAUUCAGCCUUGCUUUUGCUUGGUGUUUUUCCUGCGUUGCAGGCCAACGUCGGUUUUGGGCACUGGAGAAGGGUAGGAGGAACGUGGCACCUCUCGGGGUGUGUUAUAGCCUCCUACUGGAUACAGCGACCGAGACCGAGGAACGCAGCGUACUCGUAAGAGCGGGCCUUUUGGCACCUUUACGCUUAGGGCGUUGGCAUAAUGGCCCUCUACCACCCGUCUU